GACGAACGCUGGCGGCGUGCUUAACACAUGCAAGUCGAACGGUGAAGGGACCGGCUUUUGCUGGUUCUGGAUGAGUGGCGAACGGGUGAGUAACACGUGAGUAACCUGCCCCCUUCUUCUGGAUAACCGCAUGAAAGUGUGGCUAAUACGGGAUAUUCUGGGUCUGUCGCAUGGCGGGCCUGGGAAAGAUGCGCCUUUGGGUGUUUUUGGUGGGGGAUGGGCUCGCGGCCUAUCAGCUUGUUGGUGGGGUGAUGGCCUACCAAGGCGGUGACGGGUAGCCGGCCUGAGAGGGUGGACGGUCACACUGGGACUGAGACACGGCCCAGACUCCUACGGGAGGCAGCAGUGGGGAAUAUUGCACAAAUGGGCGCAAAG
Molecule: ribosomal RNA, 375 nt
Filed under: Actinomyces sp. oral taxon 169
Lineage: Bacteria; Bacillati; Actinomycetota; Actinomycetes; Actinomycetales; Actinomycetaceae
Description: bacterial SSU rRNA
Rfam family: Bacterial small subunit ribosomal RNA
Source: RNAcentral